GAAAAAUGGACUAUUUCAGAACCUAGAACGGAGCCAAAGAGCUCAAGUCCAAGGACAAUCAAGCAAAACAUGCAGUGCGUGAGAGGCUAAAGUAUAAAUGGGUAUGAAAAUAUAAAAAAUAAAUAUGGGGUUGCUUGAACUAGAGGAACUAAUUUAUUUAUUGCUUAAAAAUAUAGUGACUAAGUUAUAAUUUACUCGAACUAUAAGAUUGACAAAUCUUCUAAGCGAAACAAGAAACAGUAAUUGAAUUGGCAGCUCGAAAAUCUUUGAUGAACAAGAAAAGAGAUGAUAACAAGGUCGAAACUGGUGGAGCAAUUGUGUGUGUGUGUGUGUGAGAGAGAGAGAGAGAGAGAGAGAGAGAGAGAGGGAGUGCCAGAUCCGAUCCCAACACAAGCGUUCUUCUCUCACCAUCUUUUCUCCUAAACCCCCAUCUCGUCCUGGGCUCUGGGGCAAGCCAUUAGAUAAAUACUAGGCAAAAGUUGAUCCAGUUACAUGCUGUGAUAAAAAAUUGUUGAGCCAUACAACUCCAGUCCAAACGAAAUUACAAUGAAACAAAACCUGAUAAUCAUUGGCUUUGUAAGAGGCAACCAGAUUCUUCUUCAGGGGCUGAUGUCACUGUAGCAAUCUUUUGGGCCUUAACAUUAAGCAUGCUUGUCAUAUCAUCUUACAAGGCACUUUAUUUCCGACAUUUCUGGCUUUUGUUUCUCAUAAUAUGUCUUGCAAUUUUUCUUCCCGUACAUCUGAGAAGUUCAAGGGCCCAGAAUAGGGAGAGAAGAUUUUUAUUGCCUUUGUCCACGUGAACAUGCUAUGGCAUUGAAGCAUUUCAACCAUAGAGCUUUGUAAUUGGAACUUAUCGUUCACAUUUGAUUCCUGUGGCUUAUUGGAAAAAAUUAUAAAACUUGGAGCACUGAUCUUGGUCAACCCAGAUUUGUCCUGCCCUCUCAGAUAGAUGGGGCUGCGCUAAGGGCAAGUGAUGCUGUGUGAUGCAAUGUAUGAUGGAUUCUAGCCAUCCAUGUGAAUCACACAAAUACAAGUGAAGAUUUGCAUGCAUGGUUCUGUCUUGGCAGAAUCCUGGAUGCAAGAAAAUAUCAACUUCGCAUUAAACUACCAUUUGUCGGUGGGUGAUUGCUGUCUUAAUGCGACACGGCCGAAAGCCGAAAGGAAAGGGAGCCCUACUGGGUUUUUUCACAGCCACAUAAAAAUGGCUAGAUUUGUUCCGUUCUUGUAUGUUCAAAGUUAAAACUUUAGAUGUUUCGCUUUCGAUGUUCAGGAAAGCUUUUAGUACACUGGAAAGUGAGACGUCGGAGUAUUUUAUCACUCUGUAAACCGUUCACUGUCCUGGAAGGCCACACUAGAAUAUUUGCUUGCCCUUGGGCAGGGCUGCCCUUGUUUGACUUCUCUUGCCUGCCGCAUUUUUUAGGCCUGUGUUUUCUUGGUUCUUGCGAGUUGCUAAAGGAAAAGCUGCCAUUUUGGACCACUAGAAGGUAAGGUAGCAAGCACCACGUGAUUCUCAAGCCACCACCAAACCAGCGGGAUGGACGUUGCUUUUAUUAUUAUUGAACCUCCCAAGAAAAUGUCGUCCAGCCAUUAUUGUUGUUUUUCACUUGCUACUUGUAUCACCGCGACAUGAGCUUAUAGGGAGGUUCUUCAACCGCCUGUGGCCACCUGACUGGCGCAAGCAGCCGUUACGUGCAUGUCCUGACUGUUCCAUCUAAAACCACAAGUGGUGUUAUACAUGCCGAUCUGCUAGCGUAUACAGGCAACGUCUGGUCUAGAUGGAAUAGCUGUGACAGAUGCAAUUACUCCCUGCAAACCUUUUGGUCAUUAAUUUACCACACAAUUCAUAAAGGUUUCACGUU
This is a long non-coding RNA of Populus nigra (black poplar), 1859 nucleotides long. RefSeq lists it as uncharacterized. The transcript is spliced from 4 exons. The record is from RefSeq and is a predicted model, not a curated record. Lineage: Eukaryota; Viridiplantae; Streptophyta; Magnoliopsida; Malpighiales; Salicaceae.